GAUCCUGGCUCAGAACGAACGCUGGCGGCAUGCCUAACACAUGCAAGUCGAACGAGACCUUCGGGUCUAGUGGCGCACGGGUGCGUAACGCGUGGGAACCUGCCUUUAGGUUCGGAAUAACAGUGAGAAAUUACUGCUAAUACCGGAUGAUGUCUUCGGACCAAAGAUUUAUCGCCUUUAGAUGGGCCCGCGUUGGAUUAGCUAGUUGGUGGGGUAAAGGCCUACCAAGGCGACGAUCCAUAGCUGGUCUGAGAGGAUGAUCAGCCACACUGGGACUGAGACACGGCCCAGACUCCUACGGGAGGCAGCAGUGGGGAAUUUUGGACAAUGGGCGCAAGCCUGAUCCAGCCAUGCCGCGUGCGGGAUGAAGGCCUUCGGGUUGUAAACUGCUUUUGUCAGGGAAGAAAUCCUCUGGGUUAAUACCUCGGGGGGAUGACGGUACCUGAAGAAUAAGCACCGGCUAACUACGUG
This 471-nucleotide ribosomal RNA is filed under the name uncultured bacterium. RNAcentral describes it as "bacterial SSU rRNA". It matches the Rfam family "Bacterial small subunit ribosomal RNA", at positions 15 to 507 of the family's 1533-position model. The record is from RNAcentral.